Populus euphratica (Euphrates poplar) is the source of this 588-nucleotide long non-coding RNA. RefSeq lists it as uncharacterized. The record is from RefSeq and is a predicted model, not a curated record. NCBI's taxonomy places the organism in Eukaryota, Viridiplantae, Streptophyta, Magnoliopsida, Malpighiales, Salicaceae. The transcript is spliced from 2 exons.
UAUGUUAAUUUGAAAACAUUGUACGAGCUAAAACAGUCUAGAAAAAUGAGUAUUAUUGAGAAAGUAGGCAUGUUUCUCUAUACUUUAGCUCUAGAAUCUUUAAACAUGAAAGUUCAGGAGAGAUUUCAACAUUCAAGAGAAACCGUAAGCAGAUAUUUCAAGAAGUUCUUAGGUCAGUAUGCUUGCUAACUGUUGAUUUUAUCAAAUCAGUAGAUUUAGAAUUCACAACAACACCAAUAAAAAUUGCAAUAAAUCCAAGAUAUAUGCCACAUUUCAAGAAUUGUAUUAGCGCGAUUGAUGGAAUACAUAUACGUGUUUAUGCAUCAAAAGCAAAUCAAAUACCAUUUAUUGGUAGAAAAGGUGUACCAACUCAAAAUAUAAUGGAAGCAUGUAGUUUUAACAUGCAAUUUACAUUUAUUUGGGUUGGGUGAGAAGGUAGUGCGCAUGAUAUAAGAAUAUUUCAUGAAGCGAUUGACAAUUCAAAUAUAAGAUUUUCGAAGCCACUACAAGGUAUUGCGAAAUAAAAAAUUUGGAUGUUGUUCCAUUUGAAUAAAUUUAUUUUGUGUCUGCAAUAGGAAAUAAGUUUUG